Molecule: ribosomal RNA, 1446 nt
Filed under: uncultured organism
Description: SSU rRNA
Rfam family: Bacterial small subunit ribosomal RNA
Source: RNAcentral
CGCUAGCUACAGGCUUAACACAUGCAAGUCGAGGGGCAUCAGGAAGAAAGCUUGCUUUCUUUGCUGGCGACCGGCGCACGGGUGAGUAACACGUAUCCAACCUGCCCUUUACUCGGGGAUAGCCUUUCGAAAGAAAGAUUAAUACCCGAUAGCAUAAUGAUUCCGCAUGGUUUCAUUAUUAAAGGAUUCCGGUAAAGGAUGGGGAUGCGUUCCAUUAGGUUGUUGGUGAGGUAACGGCCCACCAAGCCUUCGAUGGAUAGGGGUUCUGAGAGGAAGGUCCCCCACAUUGGAACUGAGACACGGUCCAAACUCCUACGGGAGGCAGCAGUGAGGAAUAUUGGUCAAUGGGCGCUAGCCUGAACCAGCCAAGUAGCGUGAAGGAUGAAGGCUCUAUGGGUCGUAAACUUCUUUUAUAUAAGAAUAAAGUGCAGUAUGUAUACUGUUUUGUAUGUAUUAUAUGAAUAAGGAUCGGCUAACUCCGUGCCAGCAGCCGCGGUAAUACGGAGGAUCCGAGCGUUAUCCGGAUUUAUUGGGUUUAAAGGGAGCGUAGGUGGACUGGUAAGUCAGUUGUGAAAGUUUGCGGCUCAACCGGUAAAAAUUGCAGUUGAUACUGUCAGUCUUGAGUACAGUAGAGGUGGGCGGAAUUCGUGGUGUAGCGGUGAAAUGCUUAGAUAUCACGAAGAACUCCGAUUGCGAAGGCAGCUCACUGGACUGCAACUGACACUGAUGCUCGAAAGUGUGGGUAUCAAACAGGAUUAGAUACCCUGGUAGUCCACACAGUAAACGAUGAAUACUCGCUGUUUGCGAUAUACAGUAAGCGGCCAAGCGAAAGCAUUAAGUAUUCCACCUGGGGAGUACGCCGGCAACGGUGAAACUCAAAGGAAUUGACGGGGGCCCGCACAAGCGGAGGAACAUGUGGUUUAAUUCGAUGAUACGCGAGGAACCUUACCCGGGCUUAAAUUGCAGUGGAAUGAUGUGGAAACAUGUCAGUGAGCAAUCACCGCUGUGAAGGUGCUGCAUGGUUGUCGUCAGCUCGUGCCGUGAGGUGUCGGCUUAAGUGCCAUAACGAGCGCAACCCUUAUCUUCAGUUACUAACAGGUCAUGCUGAGGACUCUGGAGAGACUGCCGUCGUAAGAUGUGAGGAAGGUGGGGAUGACGUCAAAUCAGCACGGCCCUUACGUCCGGGGCUACACACGUGUUACAAUGGGGGGUACAGAAGGCAGCUAGCGGGUGACCGUAUGCUAAUCCCAAAAUCCUCUCUCAGUUCGGAUCGAAGUCUGCAACCCGACUUCGUGAAGCUGGAUUCGCUAGUAAUCGCGCAUCAGCCACGGCGCGGUGAAUACGUUCCCGGGCCUUGUACACACCGCCCGUCAAGCCAUGGGAGCCGGGGGUACCUGAAGUACGUAACCGCAAGGAUCGUCCUAGGGUAAAACUGGUGACUGGGGC